Zingiber officinale is the source of this 2755-nucleotide RNA transcript. It is a transcript of the gene named mitogen-activated protein kinase 15-like, with no coding region annotated. The record is from RefSeq and is a predicted model, not a curated record. Lineage: Eukaryota; Viridiplantae; Streptophyta; Magnoliopsida; Zingiberales; Zingiberaceae. The transcript is spliced from 9 exons.
GCAUCGCCCAGUUCCUCCUCGCGCUGUUCGUGCUCGCUCCCAGAUUGGGGAAGGCAUUCGUUGUCGGUGAAUCUGGCGGAAGCUGAAAAGGUUGGAUUUUUGAGCGGCGAUCGAGCUGUGCCCGUAGGGAUUCUGAUUUCUCCUUAAAUUGGAGGUUCUGGAGAGAGUAGUGUGGAAUUUCGGCUUGUGGUCCUGCAAAGUACCGGGUGUGGCAAAUGCGGCUGAUUUCACGCCAUUUCUAGCCUGUGUGUUGAUAUAAAGUCGACCGAGGUACGUAGAGGGAAGAAGCUUGGAGGCCUUCGCGAGGCGUCCAAGUAUUAAGCGGCAAGAAAAUGCAGCAAGAUCAACAGGAAAAGAGGUCUCUAGAACUAAAGUUUUUCAGUGAGUAUGGAGAUGCUAAUAGGUAUAGAGUUGAGAAAAUUAUCGGCAAAGGUAGCUAUGGAGUCGUUUGUUCAGCAAUUGAUACACAUACUGGUGAGAUGGUGGCGAUCAAGAAGAUGCAUAAUAUCUUUGAACACAACUCCGAUGCUGUUCGAACACUCCGCGAGAUCAAGCUUCUGCGUCUUUUGAAGCAUCCGGAUAUAGUGGAGAUAAAACACAUCAUGUUGCCUCCAUCGAGACGAGAUUUCAAAGAUGUUUAUAUUGUCUUUGAACUUAUGGAGUCAGAUCUUCACCAAGUCAUAAAGGCAAACGAUGAUUUAACAAAGGAACAUAUUCAGUUCUUCAUUUAUCAGUUGCUCCGAGCACUUAAAUAUAUCCACACAGCUAAUGUGUACCAUCGCGAUUUAAAGCCAAAGAACAUACUGGCAAAUGCAAACUGCAAGCUAAAGAUUUGUGAUUUUGGGCUAGCAAGAGUUGCAUUCGACAAUAGCCCCACAACAGUACUUUGGACGGAUUACGUUGCAACCAGAUGGUAUAGGGCUCCUGAAUUAUGCGGAUCAUUUUUCUCUAAGUAUACCACUGCUAUCGACAUUUGGAGUGUUGGUUGCAUUUUUGCUGAGCUAUUGAUAGGCAAGCCUCUUUUCCCCGGUAAAAAUGUUGCUCAUCAACUAGAUUUGAUCACUGCCCUUCUCGGCACACCUUCCUUCAAUACAAUUUCCCAGGUUCAAAAUGAGAAAGCAAGGAAGUAUUUGAGAAGCAUGAGGAAGAAAGAGCCUAUACCAUUCACACAGAAAUUCCUGAAUGCAGAUCCUUUGGCGUUGAAACUUUUGGAGAAGCUUUUAUCAUUUGACCCUAAGAACAGACCAACAGUUGAAGAGGCACUAGCUGAUCCAUAUUUCAAAACUCUUGCCAAAGUAGAGAGGGAACCGUCUCGCCGACCAAUCCCAAAAAAGGAGUUUGAUUUUGAACAACGAAGGUUGACUAAAGAAGACAUACAAGAACUAAUCUUCCAUGAGAUAUUGGAAUAUCAUCCUCAGUUGCUUGAAAGUUACAUCAAAGGAUCUGAAAGGACGAAAUUCCUGUAUCCCAGUGCUUUGGAUCAGUUUAGAAGACAAUUCACUUACCUCGAAGAGAAUGGUGAAAAAAAUGGACCUGCAACUUUGUUAGAUAGGAAGCAUGUCUCUCUCCCUAGGUAAAUUUUCAGCCGGUCUGUUCUUCAGCUUCAUUCCUUUCUUAUUUUUAUCAACUGAGGUGUCUCGAUCUUUGCAAGAAAUCAUACAAUUUGCUAGGCUGUUCAAAGUUACCAAACAAACUUGAUAUUUUGAUUCAGUUAGGUAUGCAUCGUGUAUAACUGAGAUCGCAUUAGAAGCUGAUAUUGUUCUAAGAUCACAUUGCACUCAUUUCCUUUCUUUACGUUUUCCUUUCGAUGAAUUUCUCAUUUAACCUUUGUAUCUUGCUUAAAUAUCACUUGAAAUUUCCUAAUAUAUAUUUGGAUCUCUAUCUGUGAUCUUUUCGAUGAUCUCAUAGGUCAACAAUGGUCCACUCUGCUGUCCCUCUAAUGGAAAAAGCAGCUACGUCCUAUUCAAUAGAUAAACGAAGCAUAGAUGAGGCACAUAAGAAAAACUCUGAUAAGAUGGAAUGCUCAUCUGGACAAGUAGCAAGUGCUUCAAACUUGUCCAAUAGAUUCUCAAAUGUUCAGCCUGGAAGAGUUUUCAAGGAUGCCGUUCCAUUAGCUACUCACAACAUUCUCACCGCAACACUAGGAAGUUGGAGAGCUCAUGCGUAGACACAGCACAGGCCGAACAAGAAUCCGUACAGCAUCAACCGACACAAACAUGUCUAGUUAGUGAAGUGGCUGCUCUCCCUUUUCACUUCUCGGGGGAUAAGGUUGAACCGGCAGACAGAAACACUGCAACCAAAAGCUUGUUUUAUGCGAGAUCCCACUUUAACUGGAUCAUCACAGCGGAUUCGGCUGCCAGUGAUCAUAGAAAAAUCGGCAGUUGUCUGUUUGGACUUUCGAGUAUAUAUUGAGCUCCAAAACUUAUAAUUCGAUGAAACUAGCAUCAGUAGGCUAGGUGCAAAUGCAAAGGUCAGCGACGAGAUCACGAAGAAGAUCAUGGUGAAGAGAAAUGCUGAAUGCUUAAAUUUCAACAGUAAUAAUCCCUGCAUCAUUUCAAGCUCCAGUAAGUGUGAAUACUAGAGGAUCAUGAAAGGAUGCCUCUAUUGAGCUUUUCAUCUUUGCUCAUAGUCUGGAACAUCAGUUUCAUAACUUUAUAAUAUACCAGUUUAAUUCAUUUACUUUACUUUUUGUAAAAUAAAACAACACAUGUAAAUGUACAUAAUUAUGGAAAUGCAAGGAGGUAUGUUUAUGAAC